UUAUAAUACACAUCACAUAGAAAAUAAAAGGUAAUAUUUAAACUAUUAGGGGAGUUCAUAUUUCACUGCCAAUAUAUUUUAUUUUGAAAAUACUACAUUGAAUCAGCUUUCUUUUUGAAUAACCUUUGUUGCCUUGGAUGUGACAGACAUACAUUCCUACUCUUAUACAAAGUACAGUUCAUUUAUUUAUUAAAAUAAAUAUUUAUGUUUACUGGGGCUCUAUUAUGUGCCAGGAUCUAUUCUGGGUCUUUGGGAUCAGGUAGGGUAUAAAUAGACAAAUUCUUAUGCUCAGAGAGCUUAUAUGGUAGACACAAACAGUAAAUAAAUGAAUAAAUUAAAAAUGAAUAUAUAAUAAGCAAUGUGGCAAUUAAUAUUAUUUUGCAUAAUUAGUUUAAAAAUAAAUUUAAAAUACCUAUUUUACAAGGUACAUGCAUUUUAGGGAUAAAUCAAACACCUAGUGUUUUGUGGAAUCAGCAAUUAUGGGAAAAAUAGAAGGCUUUGUAAAGACUGAGGAAAAUAAUGUAUAGAAGAAUAUAACAUAAAAUACAGGGGAGUGUGAUUAAAGCCUACGCUUUAAAGAAAACAAAUAAAAUACAUAAAAAUCAUAGUAAUAUAGAGCACAUGCCAAUGAAAGAGCUCUGAUUAAAAGUAUGUAGUUUUAAUAGAGGAGACUAUCACAGAUGUAAAAAUAAAGUAAAAUUGACUUCUGACUCCAUAAAAACAAUACACAAUGGAUUGGAGGAAAAAAUUAAGGCACUUAAAAGAAAUGGGUUAAAGUUUAGUUAGAUCAGACAUUUUACAAAAUAAAAAUCUAAAUCUAGCUAAAGAAAAGUCAGGCAUAAAAUAGUUGGUCAGUAGUGGAGAAUGAAAGGAAGUCCCUAGGAUCAGUGAGAAGCGAUAUUCAUCCAACAGAUUUCAAGUCUUGUCCCAUUGGAAAAGUUAUCCUUAAUGUAGAGAGAGAGAUGAGUCUGGAAUUCCUAUUAGCCUGAUACCACUAAGUAUACUAUUCAUAUAAAUAACUCCCUUGAGUUCCCCUUCUGAUGAGAAUGAGAAGCUGGGCAUCUAGGUCACUUGUAUAGAAAGAAAGAAUGGAUUGAGCAGAGGAGUCAAGUGGCUGCUCUCUCUAUUGACCAUUUUGCUUCUCAUUGUAAAGCAUAGAGCUCUGCUUCAUAAUGGUAUGUGAGUGGGUUU
RNAcentral lists this long non-coding RNA (1191 nucleotides) under Canis lupus familiaris (dog). Its description in RNAcentral is "lncRNA (ENSCAFG00040007580.1)". Lineage: Eukaryota; Metazoa; Chordata; Mammalia; Carnivora; Canidae. The record is from RNAcentral.